RNAcentral lists this ribosomal RNA (282 nucleotides) under uncultured Smithella sp. RNAcentral describes it as "partial 16S ribosomal RNA". It matches the Rfam family "Bacterial small subunit ribosomal RNA", at positions 1100 to 1382 of the family's 1533-position model. The record is from RNAcentral. Lineage: Bacteria; Pseudomonadati; Thermodesulfobacteriota; Syntrophia; Syntrophales; Smithellaceae.
AACCCCUAUCCUCAGUUGCCAUCAUUAAGUUGGGCACUCUGUGGAGACUGCCGGUGUUAAGCCGGAGGAAGGUGGGAUGACGUCAAGGUCCUCAUGGCCUUUAUGUCUAGGGCUUACACACGGUGCUACAAUGGUGGUACAAAGAGCAGCUAACUCGCGAGAGUAUGCAAAUCUCAAAAAGCCAUCCUCAGUUCGGAUUGGAGUCUGCAACUCGACUCCAUGAAGUUGGAAUCGCUAGUAAUCGCGGAUCAGCAUGCCGCGGUGAAUACGUUCCCGGGCCUU